GGCACUUGCAACUUUAUUGCGCCAGCAAGAACAUGCAUACAGCCCAGUCUAACGUACAGGAUCAAAAAGAGACCUUAUUUCGGCUGGCAAUUACCUUACCCGCUUGUUCAUUAUCUGACUCCUGCACUCCUCCCAAGUGUUCAAUGUUAACCAGAUGGCAAAGUUAACCAGACAGAGGAAAUCCACAUAAUUACUCUAGAUGAAGCCCCCUAACUGCGGAUUAGAAGGAAAAGAGAUGAAGGGUGCUGCACUAAUAAUAACAACCAUUUUCAACCAAGGCAGGAUUCUGGGCCUAGAAUCUUCAGUGACAAAUUACCAGGAGAGGAGGAGGGAAAUGAAGAGCUGGAGGCCUAGGGAGAUGGUGUGAGGAGAGGAGACUGUGCCUUUCCACUUCUUAAUAAUUAAUGUUCUCCUGCUGCUCUGAGUCUGCAUCACCAGUGAUUCAGUUUGAGUCAGACAUCCAACAACAACUGAGCAAAAGAAUCAUCUCAGAUCCAAGCAAUGGUGACGCGCAGAUAGAAGAGACUGAGGCCAACGACCAAAGCAAAGGACAGCAGAACUGACUGACACAGCUCAGAAAAUAUCCAAAGCUCUGUAUGCUCUGGAAAGGAAGACAAGAAAUGCUAAAGACUCUGGAUAUUGCUCUGUUUCUAUAAGGUCCCACCCAUAUACCAUCUCUUCUUUUGGAUUUCCUUUGGCAGUAACCUGAAGUUAUAUAAGUGGCAUGUUCCCAAGUACAAAGGGAGCCCUUCUAUUGCUUCUGCUUACAAAGAGGUGUCAACCUAAGAAAAAGCCAGAACAAGCCAAAGUUCAGGGUUCCCUUGUAUGGAAGUUCUCAGGAGAACAACACUCUCAGAGUCCCACUGUCUCAAAGAAUUCUUAAUGGACAGCUAUACUUGGCCCCAAGGUUUCAACCUCACACUGAAGAAAGUGACAUAAGAAAACACAAGUCCCAGUGCUAUCAGGGGCUAUCUGGAAAAGCUGCUUAAACAGCAAGUGAAAGAAGGCUCUCCCCUACCCCGUUCUAGUUAUAAACAUCACAUCUCUUAACAUACGGCCAAGAUGAUGAAGCUGAUGGAGUACGAUGGUGUUCAAACUUAGAUAAGCUAAUUCAAUAGACAACUAGAAAUGCCAAUGAGUCUAUCACUCACCCUGAAGUUAUUUGAAGGAUCCUUGAGACUCUUUUGGAUUGCUGCUUGGAGAACAUUCCUGUAACUUGUCCCUGCUCCUUGAACUAUAAAAGCAGAAGGGAGGUACUGAGUUAAAACUUACAAAUUAUUAUCAAAUAAAUCUUCAAUAGUGGUUCAGUCCAA
RNAcentral lists this long non-coding RNA (1313 nucleotides) under Homo sapiens (human). RNAcentral's name for it is "PREDICTED lncRNA (TCONS_00163777)". Lineage: Eukaryota; Metazoa; Chordata; Mammalia; Primates; Hominidae. The record is from RNAcentral.